UGGGGAAUAUUGGACAAUGGGCGAAAGCCUGAUCCAGCCAUGCCGCGUGUGUGAAGAAGGUCUUCGGAUUGUAAAGCACUUUAAGUUGGGAGGAAGGGCAGUAACCUAAUACGUUGCUGUCUUGACGUUACCGACAGAAUAAGCACCGGCUAACUCUGUGCCAGCAGCCGCGGUAAUACAGAGGGUGCAAGCGUUAAUCGGAAUUACUGGGCGUAAAGCGCGCGUAGGUGGUUUGUUAAGUUGGAUGUGAAAUCCCCGGGCUCAACCUGGGAACUGCAUUCAAAACUGACUGACUAGAGUAUGGUAGAGGGUGGUGGAAUUUCCUGUGUAGCGGUGAAAUGCGUAGAUAUAGGAAGGAACACCAGUGGCGAAGGCGACCACCUGGACUGAUACUGACACUGAGGUGCGAAAGCGUGGGGAGCAAACAGGAUUAGAUACCCCCGUAGUCCCUGAGCGGGCUGGCAAGGCGCAU
Molecule: ribosomal RNA, 472 nt
Filed under: uncultured bacterium
Lineage: Bacteria
Description: bacterial SSU rRNA
Rfam family: Bacterial small subunit ribosomal RNA
Source: RNAcentral